RNAcentral lists this unclassified non-coding RNA (349 nucleotides) under soil metagenome. RNAcentral describes it as "partial contains 5.8S ribosomal RNA, internal transcribed spacer 2, and large subunit ribosomal RNA". The stretch from base 1 to 120 matches the Rfam family "5.8S ribosomal RNA", at positions 35 to 154 of the family's 154-position model. The record is from RNAcentral.
GAUGAAGAACGUAGCGAAAUGCGAUAAGUAAUGUGAAUUGCAGAAUUCAGUGAAUCAUCGAAUCUUUGAACGCACAUUGCGCCCGCCAGUAUUCUGGCGGGCAUGCCUGUUCGAGCGUCAUUUCAACCCUCAGGCCCCCAGUGCCUGGUGUUGGGGAUCGGCAGCAGGGCGUCAAGCCCGCCGGCCCCGAAAUCUAGUGGCGGUCUCGCUGUAGUCCUCCUCUGCGUAGUAGCACAACCUGGCAGUUGGAACGCGGCGGUGGCCAUGCCGUUAAACACCCCACUUCUGAAAGUUGACCUCGGAUCAGGUAGGAAUACCCGCUGAACUUAAGCAUACAAUAAGCGGAGGA